GACGAACGCUGGCGGCGUGCUUAACACAUGCAAGUCGAACGGAAAGGCCCUGCUUGCAGGGUACUCGCGUGGCGAACGGGUGAGUAACACGUGGGUGAUCUGCCCUCCACUUCGGGUUAAGCUUGGGCAGCUGGGUCUAAUACCGGAUAGGAGCCAUCUUUAGUGUGGUGGUUGGAAAGUUUUUUCGGUGUAGGAUGAGCUCGCGGCCUAUCAGCUUGUUGGUGGGGUAAUGGGCUACCAAGGCGGCGUCGGGUAGCCGGCCUGAGAGGGUGUACGGCCACAUUGAGACUGAGGUACGGCCCAGACUCCUACGGGAGGCAGCAGUGGGGAAUAUUGCACAAUGGGCGCAAGCCGGAUGCAGCGACGCCGCGUGGCGGAUGAAGGUCUUCGGGUUGUAAACUCAUUUCGCUAGGGACGAAGCUUUUUGUGACGGUACCUAGAGAAGAAGCACCGGCUAACUACGUG
This 465-nucleotide ribosomal RNA is filed under the name uncultured bacterium. RNAcentral describes it as "partial 16S ribosomal RNA". It matches the Rfam family "Bacterial small subunit ribosomal RNA", at positions 28 to 507 of the family's 1533-position model. The record is from RNAcentral.